RNAcentral lists this transfer RNA (63 nucleotides) under Cyclommatus strigiceps vitalisi. RNAcentral describes it as "tRNA-Cys". The record is from RNAcentral. Lineage: Eukaryota; Metazoa; Arthropoda; Insecta; Coleoptera; Lucanidae.
AGUUUUAUAGUCAAGCAUGACACUAAAUUGCAAGUUUAGAGGAGAAUAUAAAUUCUAAGGCUU